Molecule: ribosomal RNA, 342 nt
Filed under: bacterium
Lineage: Bacteria
Description: bacterial SSU rRNA
Rfam family: Bacterial small subunit ribosomal RNA
Source: RNAcentral
UGAAUAAGCUGGCACCUUGACGGUACCUAACCAGAAAGCCACGGCUAACUACGUGCCAGCAGCCGCGGUAAUACGUAGGUGGCAAGCGUUAUCCGGAAUUAUUGGGCGUAAAGCGCGCGCAGGUGGUUUCUUAAGUCUGAUGUGAAAGCCCACGGCUCAACCGUGGAGGGUCAUUGGAAACUGGGAGACUUGAGUGCAGAAGAGGAAAGUGGAAUUCCAUGUGUAGCGGUGAAAUGCGUAGAGAUAUGGAGGAACACCAGUGGCGAAGGCGACUUUCUGGUCUGUAACUGACACUGAGGCGCGAAAGCGUGGGGAGCAAACAGGAUUAGAUACCCGGGUAGU